GUUCAAAUCCCCUGUUAAAAAUCUUGGAAGCUUCAAAACUUGUACUAGUAGAGCUUGGGUGGUCCGAACCUCCUACUAGAGAGACCUUGCAUGAUCUAAACUUCCAAAUUUCUACUAGAGUCUGUCGCAUGGUCUACAUAUCCCAAUCAGAAAGUCCUCGGUCAGUCCUAAAUCUUCUAUAAUCGAACCUCUCAAGAACAACCCCUUCGUAUCCGAAAUGUCUGAAACAUAAGGCAUGAUUCGACCCCCCGAGGUGUUAACGUAGCCCCAAAAAUGGACGCUUUAAUCCCGCCCAACGCUGUCACGGCCCGGCAAACCUUUCUCCUUCUGAACCGGUUUUCCGUCUCUUCAUCUGUUUUCUUUCUGUCCGCUUAGGUUGCCUCCCGAUUCGCAGACACAGGCUGCGACGAUUCCUUCAGGACCACGCCGCGUCCUGCUCGAGCGGACCCCGCUCACGGUCCUGCGGCUGAGCACCUGUGCUCCGCGAAUCGGGACCCGGGGAUAACUCGCUGCGCUCUCGCGUCGAGCUAACUAACCAGCCUAAAUACGCACGUGGGAAACGACAAAAGCGAGAACGAUUAUCGAUGCAGGAAAUGUUUUCGUCGCUUCUGUGGUCGGCCUCUGUCGAGAAACAGUCUCGCCGAGUGCCGAGGGAGACGUGCGUGGCGCACGUACGUGCUCCUGGGGUUGUUUUCUCGCCUUUAUUUAACCUUCUGCGUGAUCCGCUUGCCGAUGCUUUACGAGCGACUCGUCCAACGACGCAUAGAAACGGUAGUUGCGGUUCCCGAGUCUCACUCGAGCUGUCCCUCUAACAGGUAAAGGAUACCGCAUCGCUGGGCCGAGUACACGAGAUGUAUAUCGACGCUGACAAGAGAUAAGAGACUCGCGCGUGACUACCGACCGCGUUACGGGAAAAGGACGAUAGAAGCUUGGUCCAGAGGAGAAGGAAAGAAUUCUCAAGAUCACAACCCCUUUGGUUCCCUUGUUCCUCUCCGUGCAUCGGUCCCUCGAGUUCUUCCUAUCCGACUCCUCGUCAUCGUCAUUGCGUUUGUCGUUUCCUUUCUGUUUCGUUUCAUCGCUGACGCCCCUCCCGACAACUACAAAAGUAUCUCUUUCGUCAUCACCGCACACACAACACACGUACACGUACACCGUACCACACGCUUCUCGACGAGUGUCAUCCGUUCUCCGUUCCAGGGAUUUACCGCAUUUUAUAUCGCUCACUUUUUCUCCGCAUUGCACCUCAUGUCCCCCUCGUUCGUUGGCUCAUCUCUUACCGCAAAACAUCUCUUUAUUCUGUGUCUUGUAUAUUAUUGCUGGCUGUUUCAGAAUCGUCCGCGGCACCGUCACCGGGACCGAGGUUGCGUUCACUGGAAGUCGGAGAGCGAUGAUCGUCCUUCGAAUCGGUUGUUCAUCGUUGCACUAGGAAUCGUUACACCGAGUUACUUUCUUGAUAUAGAAUAUGUUUCACCGGAGGCAAGUCUCAAUAGAGGCGAUGCUUUUAUUAUUUUUCAAUUGUAUUUUUCACGAUUGAGCAAGAUUUAGUCAGUGUUCUAUUAUAUUGGGUUGUCCGGAGAGUCCAUGUCGAUUUUUGGUAGGUGGUUACAGGUCUGAAUAUGUCGAGAUGGUUGAAAACGAAUGACAUGCAUACCUUAACGUACACCUCUUAAAAGGUGGAAAGGUUGUGGAACAAAAUGGCACCUAUGUAAUUCAAUAAAUACAUGUGUAUAUAUAUAUUAUAUUAUAUAUAUUAUAUGAAUUUUUGUGAGAAAUUGGCACGAACUUUCUGGACCACCCAAUAUAUAAUACGUAAUAAGGUUUUAGUCAGAGAAAUGUCAGGAAUACGAUGGUAAAAGUUUUAAAGUUUUGUGUGGUUUUGUAUGGAAAGCUUUUGUAUGGUACAUAUAGUAUUCUACAAAACUUUUAUAUGAUAUAUAGAGUCUUUUAGAAGUCUUUUAUAUGAUACAUGUAGUCUUCUAGAAGUCUUUUGUACGAUACAUGGUUCUUUUUAGAAGUCUUUUAUAUUAUACGUAGUCUUUUAGAAAUCUUUCAAGGGUAUCUGUUUGUUUAUUCCGAAGCAAAAAGAAAAGACACAUUUACUUACGUACUUCAAAUUGUUCAAAAUAAUUAGACACCGUCUUCUUUAUUAUGAUUAGUACAUAACAAACUAAACACUCUACUAGUCGUUUCUAUUCUUUCCAUACAUCUCAAAAUAUUUCUUUUAAUAGAAUCAAGACAAAUUUCUCUGAUAACAAAUUGAAUUUCGAAUUGAAAAUUAACGAAUCUGAAUAUACAAACUUGAGAGAAAUAACAAUAAAAAACGUGAGGAACAUCAUGGUCCCACUCAAACUAUGCAGCUUUAUAAGUAACGAUUCCUCGUGCAACGUAGAUUGGAAAUUAUUCAAGGCACAUAUGUGUUAGAUGCCUUAACCUCAAAUUCCUAUUUAAAAAUCUGAAACACCUUUGAUUUUUAAAACAACCAAACUUGGAGCAAAACGAGUCAGUAAAUAUACAUCAGAUUAUUCGAUUAAACAAUCAAAAGUUGCUCGCAGAAAAUAGUAUGCCCUCCGUUGAAUUAAAUAGUGACAAUCAGAUUAUCCGAUGCAUUAGCCAAUCAAAGUCAAUUUUUACAAUAUUUAGUAAACUUUCACGAUAAAUAGCAAUCAUGUUUUAGAUUGACUUGCUCUACCCAAGCAACAAUAACGUUGCAGUCUCUCCAAAAAGAGAAACCACUUUAUCUACCAGGCUAUUUAGAAACAGUCUUCAACUCUUUGCACUCGAGGCCUUUUUUCUGGUAUUCACCAGCAACUCGAGAUGUUUCUUGGCAUUGCCAUGAAUUCUAAGCUAUCUAGAUUUGAGAAUAAGCCCACCUUUACCUCACCGACAAUCAUUUUAUUGACACUCAGAGCUCCAAAGAAGUGAAACCUAAAGGAACAUUAGGUAUUAUAGAGUUGCUUUGUGAAACCUAACGGUGACU
Molecule: long non-coding RNA, 2977 nt
Organism: Hylaeus volcanicus
Lineage: Eukaryota; Metazoa; Arthropoda; Insecta; Hymenoptera; Colletidae
Exons: 2
Source: RefSeq, a predicted model, not a curated record